CCCAGAUAAUAGCACUCUCAAACAAGUUUCCAUGUUGUUUGAAAGGCUGUUUCUUGGUC
RNAcentral lists this microRNA precursor (59 nucleotides) under Mus musculus (house mouse). Its description in RNAcentral is "Mmu-Mir-488_pre stem-loop". The record is from RNAcentral. Lineage: Eukaryota; Metazoa; Chordata; Mammalia; Rodentia; Muridae.